This 1164-nucleotide long non-coding RNA is filed under the name Homo sapiens (human). RNAcentral describes it as "non-protein coding ADGRA1-AS1:8". The record is from RNAcentral. Lineage: Eukaryota; Metazoa; Chordata; Mammalia; Primates; Hominidae.
CCCAAACAUGCUGUUUCAAAACGUAAGUCCAUGAAGAGUCUCGUGGUGAGAAAGACAGAAUUCCUAGCCAGGAAAAUGCCCCGUGCUUGCCCCUUGGAGGCAGGUGCUCACCACGGCAGGGUCUAUCUAGGUGUUUAUUAAGGUGUCUCACCACGUAUCGCCCGGAUUCACCAGAGAUGCAGAGGCGGAGGAUACGUUCCUGUUUACAUUGAUACAUAGUUACAUAGGUGAAGAGCUUUACAGUGAGGAAGCGGCUCACGCGGCCAUGAGGGACCCAGGCAGGAGCUGCUGUUGCUGCCCCAGCAGCAACUCCACGAGUGCUCGAUGGGAAACUGCAGACAGCAGCCUUGCCAAGCGGAUGCCCAGGGCCGACCACCGCAGCCCCUCCAGCCACGUUCUCCAUCAGGGCAGCCUCCUGCUGGCUUCGGCACUGCAGGUAGCACACCAGCGAGGGGUGGGCCUGUGUGCCACGAAGCGUCAUCCAUGGACGUGCCACGAAGGGUUAUUCUUCUUUUGACUUUUUCUGAUGGUUUAAAACUGUAAGAACACACAGCUCACAGUCCACACGGAAGCAGGCAUGUGGCUCCUGCCUCACUGUGGGAGGAAAGAUGUUCUCAAAAGAAAUGGCUGGGUUUGCGGAGGGGUUUGUGGAGGGCCGGGCAGUCUGAACACAGCCCAGCUGGCCUUGGUGGAGGUGGGCCUGGCACAGGGGGGUGGGAGCAGUUCUUCCUGACGCAAAUCCUAACGCCUUCAACACUGACCUUCCAAAGAAACAGCUGCUGGACGCCGCCCGACAGCAACGAGAGCCCCACUCCUGAGGCGCGCGACUCUCGAGGGCUUUGUUGUUUAUUUGGCACCCGAGGCCCAGGCUCACAGGGUCUCGGGUGCAUGGGACCCCCCAGCCCUUCCCACUGCUCUGCGAUUCUUCCUCCCUUCUGGAAAGGUCAGUUUGGGGUUCUAUUCUGGGAGGGGCCAGGCCGCCACCUGGCCUCAUUAACUGGGCAGGCCACUGGGACCUCCUCCGAAAUGCUGGGGCCAUGGCCGAAGACUUGCCUCCCGCCAGGAGCCUUCAGCCCUCUUAGUAGUGGAUGUGGGCUUCCUCCCUCUGAGGGGACGUCCUGAUGGACACGAGAUGUGGGGCGCCCGUGGGUGGCCGCCUGCUCC